This is a non-coding RNA of Camellia sinensis, 1972 nucleotides long. The record is from RefSeq and is a predicted model, not a curated record. NCBI's taxonomy places the organism in Eukaryota, Viridiplantae, Streptophyta, Magnoliopsida, Ericales, Theaceae.
UAGAGUUUUACUCGGGGUAAAUUAAAAGACUCCUGGUUUUGUUGGAUUUUAAUCUUCAUACGGUUCUUGCCUAAUUUAAACGAACUUUUUUUAUUUUAUUUUUUUACAAAUUGUUGUUUCUAUAUUUCUUAUGAAUUACUUUCUAAAAUUGCUUCAGGUUGGAACUGUUAUUGGGCUUCUGGCCUUGACAGGACUGGUAGUCUUUAUGCUUUUCUUUCUGGCAGCAGCUGUCAAUGCCAUUAUAAUUUCUCUUCUCGUGUCUUCAGCUGUGGCAGGGGGCUUCUUGGCUCUUUUCUUUGCCUGUGUGAUGGCAAUUUACAUUGGGGCAUUAUCAGUUUGGGCUCGCACUUGGCUCUAUCUAGAUAGAUCAGCCAACAGACUUCAGCUUGGUUGGAUUGGAUUCUUUUAGACUAUGUGGUUGGCAACAAAGAAAAGCGUGGGGCUCGCGAAGCAUUCGUUGACUGUGACUGGAUCAGCGCUUUCUGCUUACUCUUCUGCCCAGCAUGCUCGCAGCUGUCAUGAGGCAUGAUAAAGUUUCAGAUUGAUUGAAUUGCUGCUGUAGAAACUAGUCCGUGUAGAAAUUUAAUGAAAAAAAAAAAAGGCAGUUUGUAGUCUUGUGUAGAAGUGUUUGAACUACAUAUAUUUUUUUGUUUUGAUAAACAAUGCAGGUCUCUGAAAAUGAUAGAGAAGCUAUCAGUACUACAUACUUGGCAAGGCAUCCAAUGCAUUCUGGGUAACUUUUUUGGCCACUUGUUUUUGAAGUUAUAGUGCAUAAUGUGAUGAAUUUAUAGCAAUCUUUUGUAUUUUUUUUUUCUUUUUCUUUCUGAGAUUAACUUUUUUCCUUAUAAUUUAGUCUCUCAACAGUUGACAAAAAUUGGGUUAUUCAGGUUAUCUUUAGCAGGAAGAAAAUGAACUGCUUGGAGUUGAUGGCAAGUAUGACAGUAUGUCAAGUUUCCAGAAAAAACCAAAGGAAGUGAAUGUCAGGUUGAUUAAUUUUUUCUAAUUAAUGGCAAGUAUGCAGUGUUUUUUAUUAAUUUUCCUUGGAGUUGAUGGCAAGUAUGCAGUGUUUUUUAUUAAUUUUUUCUGUAGAAUGUCAGGUUGAUUUUUUCCUUUGGUUUAUGCUCUCAAAUGUUUCUAGUUCAGACAAAGCACUGCAGUUUCGAUGUCGAUGUAAUUGAAUAAAAAACCAGAGAGAAGCAAGUGUAGUUUCAUUUAUUUCCUCACCCAUUUCAUUCAUGAGAGAUUAAAUUUACUAUUGUUGCUGACUCAUUAAUUUCUGUUCUUGCUGUUCUAAGAACUUCUAUUUUAGCUAAUAAAAUGGUUUUUAAUCUUUUGUCUUUUUAAUCAACGAGUCCUGUGUGCUUAUGUGUGUCCUUUUUUUCCUUUUCCCUUUUUCAGUAUGGACUACCACUAAAAGUGGUGUCUUACAAGGAACUGUACGGAUGGACAAUGGACGAAAUAGUGAAGAUUAUUCGAUUAAAGAACAAUUGCACAUUUUGUGGUGUUUUCCGUCGCCAGGCCCUUGAUUGUGGUGCCUCAUUGCUAAAAGUAGACAAGCUAGCUACUGGGCAUAAUGUAGAUGAUAUUGCUAAAACAGUUCUUUUAAACAUAUUACGAGGUGAUAUUGCUAGGUUGAGUUGAUGCACAUUCUAUAACCAAUUCCAAGAUGCAAGCCAUUUAAGUAUACCUAUGAAAAAGAGAUUGUUAUAUAUCCUUUCCAUUGGGUUGAUGAUUUGUGCCUAAAGUUGGCAUUUGUAUAUUAAUCUGAUUUUUUACUGAUUCCUUUUAGUUGCCAAACCUUAACCAGCUGUUCACGUAUGCAUAUUUUAAGAGGCUUGACUACUCCACUGAAUGUAAUUUUCAACCCCUUUUCAUUUUUAUUUUCUAGGAGGCCACAUUUACUCACAGUUUCCUUCCUAAUCUCUCCCCAGGAAAUGGAAUUAUCAUGUUUAACAUUACAUGCUAUAUUUCU